CAUCGGUUUUUGUUUUCUGUUUGGAAGAAGAAGAGAGAUUAGUGAGCGAGUAUUUAUAAGCAAAAGAGGAUACCCUCCACUGGAGAGGACAGAGCUCAAGCCAUGACCUUGGGUGGCUUUCUAAUAAGAGUUGCUUGUUCCACGGCAUAAGCAAUCUCAGUGAGCUCUGAUGUGAUGAUCAAGAUGAGAAGAAUGCUUCAUUACAGUCCCUAAUCUCUUACCUUCUUUGAGGCCACUAGUUGUCAAAAACCGCCUUCGGGUAUGAACUCCGACGCAUUUUUCGUGGCCUAGUCCAGUAGAUCAUAACCCAAAAUAACAUCAAGGAGAUAAACAGAAUCUGAAACUGUCCUAUAAAUCGCCUAACAUAGAGAGACACUAGGCAAAAUGGUACACAAAUCAAACAACAGUCAUAUUUUUCUUUAUGCAUGCGUAAGAAUCUAUCAAGGUAAAGUAUUUGAUGUUUCGUUGAGUGACUGUUGAUACAGAGCAUUCUUGAAACAGAGAAUAGACCAUUGAUUGAAGAUUAGGCUAGAAAAAUAAACUCUACCAUAAGACUGUGUCAGUUAAUUUGAACGCAUUGCACAAACAGAUAGGAAAGCUCGGUUCUAGAAAACUGUGGCACGGAUUACAACGCAAAAAGAAAUCACGCUUGAUCGUGCCAAGUCACGCUUAGAUGAAGCUAUAAGCUGAAAAAUGUUGCACAUGUAUCAUCAAGCCUUUUGAUGCCAUAGACUCAGUCAAUAACUUUUUUCUCAGUUUUUUAUACUCGUAGACAUAGUGUAAAGCUUUUAUGGGUUGAUACUACACUAGAGUUUGCAAGCUGAUAUAACUCAUUGUACUCUUUGCAUUCGAUUAAUAUACAGCAGAAAACUUCAUUGA
Molecule: long non-coding RNA, 879 nt
Organism: Arabidopsis lyrata subsp. lyrata
Lineage: Eukaryota; Viridiplantae; Streptophyta; Magnoliopsida; Brassicales; Brassicaceae
Exons: 2
Source: RefSeq, a predicted model, not a curated record